UGAGGAAUAUUGCUCAAUGGGCGCAAGCCUGAAGCAGCGACGCCGCGUGGACGAUGAAGGUCUUCGGAUCGUAAAGUCCUUUUCUGUGUGACGAGGAAGGACGGUAGCACAGGAAUAAGUGUCGGCUAACUACGUGCCAGCAGCCGCGGUAACACGUAGGACGCAAGCGUUAUCCGGAAUUACUGGGCGUAAAGAGCGUGUAGGCGGUUCUGUAAGUCAACCGUGAAAGCUCCCGGCUAAACUGGGAGAGGUCGGAUGAGACUGCAGGGCUAGAGGGUCGUAGAGGGGUGUGGAAUUCCGGGUGUAGUGGUGAAAUGCGUAGAGAUCCGGAGGAACACCGAGAGGCGAAGGCGGCACCCUGGACGACACCAGACGCUGAGACGCGACAGCACGGGGAGCGAA
This 402-nucleotide ribosomal RNA is filed under the name uncultured bacterium. RNAcentral's name for it is "bacterial SSU rRNA". It matches the Rfam family "Bacterial small subunit ribosomal RNA", at positions 355 to 772 of the family's 1533-position model. The record is from RNAcentral.